This 329-nucleotide ribosomal RNA is filed under the name uncultured eukaryote. RNAcentral's name for it is "partial 18S ribosomal RNA". It matches the Rfam family "Eukaryotic small subunit ribosomal RNA", at positions 1470 to 1796 of the family's 1831-position model. The record is from RNAcentral.
CCCUUAGAUGUUCUGGGCUGCACGCGCGCUACACUGAUGCGUUCAACAAGUUGGACCUCGUCCGAGAGGAAAUCGGGGGAAUCUUUUGAAAACGUAUCGUGAUGGGGAUAGAUUAUUGUAAUUAUUAAUCUUCAACGAGGAAUUCCUAGUAAGCAUGAAUCAUCAGCUCGUGCUGAUUACGUCCCUGCCCUUUGUACACACCGCCCGUCGCUACUACUGAUUGGAUGUUUAAGCGAGGUUCUCGAACUGCUAGCGACUUAGCUUCGGUGAGGUCGCAGUGUGGGAAGUGAACCUAGCUUUGGUGUCUAGAGGAAGUAAAAGUCGUAACA